This 490-nucleotide non-coding RNA is filed under the name Sorghum bicolor (sorghum). RNAcentral describes it as "Eukaryotic large subunit ribosomal RNA". It matches the Rfam family "Eukaryotic large subunit ribosomal RNA", at positions 978 to 1444 of the family's 3401-position model. The record is from Rfam by way of RNAcentral. Lineage: Eukaryota; Viridiplantae; Streptophyta; Magnoliopsida; Poales; Poaceae.
ACUACUGUGCUUUAACAAUUAUGGUUUGCAAUGCUUAUGAUGACAUGAUCCGUUUUUAGUAACCGUAACAUCAGGGAUGUUACACAACGCCCUCGACCUAUUCUCAAACUUUAAAUAGGUAGGACGGCACGGCUGCUCCGGUGAGCCGUGCCAUGGAAUCGGGAGCUCCAAGUGGGCCAUUUUUGGUAAGCAGAACUGGCGAUGCGGGAUGAACCGGAAGCCGGGUUACGGUGCCAAACUGCGCGCUAACCUAGAACCCACAAAGGGUGUUGGUCGAUUAAGACAGCAGGACGGUGGUCAUGGAAGUCGAAAUCCGCUAAGGAGUGUGUAACAACUCACCUGCCGAAUCAACUAGCCCCGAAAAUGGAUGGCGCUGAAGCGCGCGACCCACACCCGGCCAUCUGGGCGAGCGCCAUGCCCCGAUGAGUAGGAGGGCGCGGCGGCCGCUGCAAAACCCGGGGCGCGAGCCUGGGCGGAGCGGCCGUCGGUG